This 497-nucleotide ribosomal RNA is filed under the name uncultured bacterium. Its description in RNAcentral is "partial 16S ribosomal RNA". It matches the Rfam family "Bacterial small subunit ribosomal RNA", at positions 28 to 507 of the family's 1533-position model. The record is from RNAcentral.
GAUGAACGCUGGCGGCGUGCCUAAUACAUGCAAGUCGAGCGAACAGACGAGGAGCUUGCUCCUCUGACGUUAGCGGCGGGCGGGUGAGUAACACGUGGAUAACUUACCUAUAAGACUGGGGUAACUUCGGGAAACCGGUGCUAAUACCGGAUAACAUGGUGAACCGCAUGGUGCAACAGUGAAAGACGGUCUUGCUGUCACUUAUAGAUGGAUCCGCGCCGCAUUAGCUAGUUGGUAAGGUAACGGCCUACCAAGGCAACGAUGAGUAGCCGAUCUGAGAGGGUGAUCGGCCACACUGGAACUGAGACACGGCCCAGACUCCUACGGGAGGCAGCAGUAGGGAAUCUUCCGCAAAGGGCGAAAGCCUGACGGAGCAACGCCGCGUGAGUGAAGAAGGUCUUCGGAUUGUAAAGCUCUGUUAUUCGGGAAGAAAAAAUGUGUACGUAACCAUGCACGUCUUGACGGUACCGAAUCAGAAAGCCACGGCUAACUACGUG